ACUUUAAAGGACAGAGAGAAAGGAAAAAUCUGAGAUUAUUAAAAUGAAGAAAAAACACUCUAAAAAACUUUUAUGUUCUUUUUACCAACUUCCAACAGAAAAUACACAAUUUCUGUAAGUCCCAUGCCUGUGUACAACCCCAGAAUCAUGGUGAAAGAUAAGGAAAUAGGAGCUUCAACCCCAGUCUAUUUUCACAGCACAGCUUCCCUCAUUCAAGCUGCAGGCAAAUGUGCCCCCCUUACCCUCAAAGUAAAGUAGCUCCUACAACUGCCAAGCAAGGUAGCUGAAUGCAGAGAUA
Phyllostomus discolor (pale spear-nosed bat) is the source of this 298-nucleotide long non-coding RNA. RefSeq lists it as uncharacterized. The record is from RefSeq and is a predicted model, not a curated record. The transcript is spliced from 3 exons. NCBI's taxonomy places the organism in Eukaryota, Metazoa, Chordata, Mammalia, Chiroptera, Phyllostomidae.